AUUGAACGCUGGCGGCAUGCUUUACACAUGCAAGUCGAACGGCAGCACGGGUGCUUGCACCUGGUGGCGAGUGGCGAACGGGUGAGUAAUACAUCGGAACGUGCCUGGUAGUGGGGGAUAACUGCUCGAAAGAGCAGCUAAUACCGCAUGAGAUCUAAGGAUGAAAGCAGGGGACCUUCGGGCCUUGUGCUACCAGAGCGGCUGAUGGCAGAUUAGGUAGUUGGUGGGGUAAAGGCUUACCAAGCCUGCGAUCUGUAGCUGGUCUGAGAGGACGACCAGCCACACUGGGACUGAGACACGGCCCAGACUCCUACGGGAGGCAGCAGUGGGGAAUUUUGGACAAUGGGCGCAAGCCUGAUCCAGCAAUGCCGCGUGCAGGAUGAAGGCCUUCGGGUUGUAAACUGCUUUUGUACGGAACGAAAAGCACCUCUCUAAUACAGAGGUGCGAUGACGGUACCGUAAGAAUAAGCACCGGCUAACUACGUG
RNAcentral lists this ribosomal RNA (486 nucleotides) under uncultured organism. Its description in RNAcentral is "bacterial SSU rRNA". It matches the Rfam family "Bacterial small subunit ribosomal RNA", at positions 30 to 507 of the family's 1533-position model. The record is from RNAcentral.